Molecule: unclassified non-coding RNA, 481 nt
Filed under: Fusarium solani
Lineage: Eukaryota; Fungi; Ascomycota; Sordariomycetes; Hypocreales; Nectriaceae
Description: sequence contains ITS2, 28S rRNA gene
Rfam family: Eukaryotic large subunit ribosomal RNA
Source: RNAcentral
CAACAGGGAUUGCCCCAGUAACGGCGAGUGAAGCGGCAACAGCUCAAAUUUGAAAUCUGGCUCUCGGGCCCGAGUUGUAAUUUGUAGAGGAUGCUUUUGGUGAGGUGCCUUCCGAGUUCCCUGGAACGGGACGCCAUAGAGGGUGAGAGCCCCGUCUGGUUGGACACCGAGCCUCUGUAAAGCUCCUUCGACGAGUCGAGUAGUUUGGGAAUGCUGCUCUAAAUGGGAGGUAUAUGUCUUCUAAAGCUAAAUACCGGCCAGAGACCGAUAGCGCACAAGUAGAGUGAUCGAAAGAUGAAAAGAACUUUGAAAAGAGAGUUAAACAGUACGUGAAAUUGUUGAAAGGGAAGCGCUUGUGACCAGACUUGGGCUUGGUUGAUCAUCCGGGGUUCUCCCCGGUGCACUCUUCCGGCUCAGGCCAGCAUCAGUUCGCCCUGGGGGACAAAGGCAUCGGGAAUGUGGCUCUCUCCGGGGAGUGUUA